RNAcentral lists this non-coding RNA (84 nucleotides) under Penicillium rubens Wisconsin 54-1255. The record is from RNAcentral. Lineage: Eukaryota; Fungi; Ascomycota; Eurotiomycetes; Eurotiales; Aspergillaceae.
CUCUAGCAACGUGCAGGCACCUCUUCAUGGUGUUAGAGACCAGUAUUCAAGUAUUCCAAGAGUAUUCGAAGAAGCGAGACCUGC